GAUGAAGAACGUAGCGAAAUGCGAUAAGUAAUGUGAAUUGCAGAAUUCAGUGAACCAUCGAAUCUUUGAACGCACAUUGCGCCCGGCAGUAAUCUGCCGGGCAUGCCUGUCCGAGCGUCAUUUCUGCCCUCGAGCGAGUCCAGCAUCUAGGUGCUGGGCCCGCCCGGCGUUGGGGCACUACGGGAAGCCCUGUGCUGUCCCCCGUAGGCCCCGAAAUGAAGUGGCGGUCCUGCCGCGGCGCCCCCUGCGUAGUAUAACAGCUCGCUUCGGGACCCGGUGGAGGCCUGCCGUCAAACCUUACUCUCUAAGUUUGACCUCGGAUCAGGUAGGGAUACCCGCUGAACUUAAGCAUAUCAAUAAGCGGAGGA
Molecule: unclassified non-coding RNA, 368 nt
Filed under: soil metagenome
Description: partial contains 5.8S ribosomal RNA, internal transcribed spacer 2, and large subunit ribosomal RNA
Rfam family: 5.8S ribosomal RNA (bases 1-120)
Source: RNAcentral